UACGUAGGGGGCAAGCGUUGUCCGGAAUCAUUGGGCGUAAAGAGCGUGUAGGCGGCCCGAUAAGUCCGCUGUGAAAGUCCAGGGCUCAACCCUGGGAUGCCGGUGGAUACUGUCGGGCUCGAGUCCGGAAGAGGAGUGUGGAAUUCCUGGUGUAGCGGUGAAAUGCGCAGAUAUCAGGAGGAACACCAAUGGCGAAAGCAGCUUUCUGGGACGGUACUGACGCUGAGGUGCGAGAGCGUGGGGAGCGAACCGG
RNAcentral lists this ribosomal RNA (253 nucleotides) under uncultured bacterium. RNAcentral's name for it is "partial 16S ribosomal RNA". It matches the Rfam family "Bacterial small subunit ribosomal RNA", at positions 524 to 776 of the family's 1533-position model. The record is from RNAcentral.